Molecule: ribosomal RNA, 305 nt
Filed under: uncultured bacterium
Lineage: Bacteria
Description: bacterial SSU rRNA
Rfam family: Bacterial small subunit ribosomal RNA
Source: RNAcentral
GUUCCUACGGGGCGCAGCAGUGGGGAAUAUUGGGCAAUGGGCGAAAGCCUGACCCAGCAACGCCGCGUGAAGGAAGAAGGCUUUCGGGUUGUAAACUUCUUUUGACAGGGAAGAGCAGAAGACGGUACCUGUCGAAUAAGCCACGGCUAACUACGUGCCAGCAGCCGCGGUAAUACGUAGGUGGCAAGCGUUAUCCGGAUUUACUGGGUGUAAAGGGCGUGUAGGCGGGAGAGCAAGUCAGACGUGAAAUUCCAGGGCUCAACCCUGGAACUGCGUUUGAAACUGUUCUUCUUGAGUGAUGGAGG